UACGUAGGUGACAAAUGUUAUCCGGAAUUACUGGGCGUAAAGGGUCUGUAGGCGGAUGUUUAGGUCUGAUGUGACACCUCCCGGCUUAACUGGGAGUAUGCAUUGGAAACCGGACAACUAGAAUCACGUCGAGGUCGGUGGAAUUCCCGGUGUAGUGGUGGAAUGCGUAGAGAUCGGGAGGAACCUCGAAAGCGAAGGCAGCCGGCUAGACGAUGAUUGACGCUGAGGGACGAUAGCGUGGGGAGCAAACAGG
RNAcentral lists this ribosomal RNA (253 nucleotides) under uncultured bacterium. RNAcentral's name for it is "partial 16S ribosomal RNA". It matches the Rfam family "Bacterial small subunit ribosomal RNA", at positions 524 to 776 of the family's 1533-position model. The record is from RNAcentral.